AGGCCGAGCGCUCCUCAGAAACCUUCCGGAAAUGGAACAGUCGUAAAGCGAAGGGCGUUUCCCCGCCCCUGCCUUCCCGCUUUCUGGAAGUUGGCCUCGCGCCUCAGCGCUUUUAAGACCGAGCUGCGUGGGUCCCUGUUUUCAAUGACUGAAAGCAAUCUGAAGGGGAUUUUUACUUUUGAGGGAAAAAAAGCUGUUACUGUACGACAGCUGGUCUUUCGUUAAGACGAGGUGGCUAAGCUAGGUGCGUGACCCCCGCCAAAUUGUGGUUAUUGGUUGUUUACUGAUUUGCUCACGGUGGGUCUACGGUCGGGCUUCUCCGACCCGAACAGGAAAUCCCUAGCUUUGGGUCACAUUGUUCUAAUUUGAGAACUAAAUGGUUUGGAGUUCACAGAACCUAACGGUAUUUUUGCUUGGCGGAAUUCUACCGGGUCUGCGGUGAAGCUAAGAUUGUCCUCGUGGAUCCACUUUGCGCGCAUUCCAGCGGCUGAAAAUGUGCCUAGCAGGUGCAGGACUCUGCCCUCUAGUCGGACAGGGACAGCCUGGGCCUGCACCAUAUUCGAAGUUGAUUUUAACAGGUCCUUCAUCAGCUAUGGGAAGACUAAGCAGCCGUGAUGCCGGUCGCUUUGUUUGCUUUUCCAAGUCCACUCAUCAGUGUAGAAGACUGACCUGCUUGCACUGGAUCAGCAGGCUCCCUUGACCACAGGCUUCUCACGUAUGGAGACAGGCUUAAGGAGAACAAGUACCUUGCCCCCAGUUCCAUGUAGACAGCUACUGAUGGAGCUGGUAUUCAAACCCAAGCCAUCACAAUCCAGAGUCUACAUGCUACUCAAUUUCCUCCUUAAUUGAUGAGAAGGUAACUAAGAAAAAACGACAAAGGAAAGUUACAGUCCAGUGGAAGAAUGGGGAUGAAUAUAAAUCAUUGUGAUACAGAGCAUGGUCUACGUGGCAAAAGCAAUGUCUAAAGAGUUAUUAAUUUUGACAGGGGUGGGGGUUGAGAAAAGCUUCCCAGAAGGAAGUAACAUUGAAUUUGGCCUCAGAGGAUCAAUUAAGCAGAGAGAAGGGAAAGAACCCUGAAGACUGGGAUUGGUAAUUUCAAUAGAGAUGCAGAGUCAGGAAAAAGUAAGGCAUAUUUAGGGGGCAAAAUUGUGUAUUAUGGGUAAAACACAUGGAGACUCAGAGCAUGAGGGUAUUUGAGAAGUUGAAGGGCCUUGAGGAAUGAGGGGAGGAAUGUAAACUAUAAUCGAUACUUUAAGCAGGGAAAUAGCACAGUUACUGACCUAUCAGUUUGGGGUCUGGCAAAGACAGUUUUAGUGGCAGUGUUUAGGAACAGUUAGAAUUUAGACUGACCUGAAGCAGACAAACCAGUGAGAAGUUGGUUGCAGUGAUUUGUUAAAGAGAAAAACUGGAUAACCGUGGGCUGCAGCUGAGGAAGUUGCACUGAGAACAGAAGAGGGUAGAUGUUUAAGAGACUUUAAAAGUGUUAUCAAUAGGAUUUGGUGACAAAUGUCAAAAAAGCGAGAGGGAGGAGGAGCCAAAGACAAUCCCCAAGGGUUCUCGCCCCAUGGGUUGGAUGAAGAGCAGACACAGUCAAAAAGCGAGAGAGAGAGAGAGAGAGAGAGAGAGAGAAAGAAAGAGAGAGAGAGAGUGUGUGUGUGUGUGUGUGUGUGUGUGUGCGCGCGCGUGCGCUCGGAGGGGAGGGAGGGGCAGAAGAAGAGGAACAGAAAGAAUUUAAUCAGGCUCCACGCCCAGCACAGAGCCCAGCACGGUUCUCAAUCUCAUGACCCUGAGAUCAUGACCUGAUCCAAAAUCAAGAGUCCUACCCUCAACUGACUGAGCCACCCAGGUGCCCCAGCCUAGCCUUCUUUCAAAGCUUAGGUCACAUCCGACUACCUAUUCCCAGAUUUCCUGCACUAUACUCCAUGCUCGGCCAGAAUUCAUCACUUCUGUGCUUGCACAAAAUGGUUUCUUUACUUCUGCGUUUUGUCAUCACUUAAAAGUGAUUACUUACAUGUUGGUUUCCCCAUGGUAGGCAAGUGCCUUGAGACACCAUGUUCCACUAGUCUCUGUAUUUUCCUUAAAACUCAAUAUGGUUACUAGCAACAAAUAACCUUUACUGUUAUUUCCAUGUGUGACAUUUCUGGAUAUUGUCCAGAAUAUCUGGUCCAAAGAGAGGCAGUAUAGCAAUGAUCCUCAAAGUGUGCUGCAUAUGUUACUGGGGAAAUAUGGAAAGCAAUUUUAAGUAUGGAAAGAUUUUCCAUGGUUUCUGUUUUAUAUUUAUAAAAUAGAGUAAUAACCCAGAAAUAAAAAUAGGAUGAGUAUGAGUUAGUGAUAUUUGUAAACUAUGUAAAUUAAUCUCAAACAUAUUAUGUUGAAGAAAGAAGCCAAACAUGAAAAAAAUGUACACCAUAUAACUUCAUUUCUAUGAAAUUCACAAACAGUAAAAAUUAAUCUAUGUUGCUAGAAAUCAGAACAGUGGUUGCCUGUAGAAACAAUAUUUUACUAGACGGGUGUGCAAUUUCUAGAGUCAUGGAAAUAUUUUAUAUUUUUAUUAGGUUAUUGAUUUUAUAGGUUUAUAUCAUUUUUCAAAAGUCAUUGUAUUGUAUCCUUAAGUUUCAUAUGUUUCAUUCCAAGUAAACUUUAUCUUGAUUAAGGAAACAAAAUUCAGGAAAAUUCAAAUAUCAUCUUGGUUUAAUUGAUACCAAGGAGUUUUUCUUAUCAAUUUUAUUAGAGUAUGAUGAUAGCAUUAUGUAAGAACAUGUUCAUAAUAUUUAGAGAUAUAUGCCAAAGUAUAUAUGGGUGACAUGAUAUGAUAUAGCUAUCAUAGAUUACUUUGAAAUAAUUCAUCAGAUAUGAAAAUGAUACAAAAAGAGAAAAUUAAAGCAAAUGUGUCAUAAUAUUGAUAAGUGUGGAAUCUGGGUGAGGAGUAUGUAGGAGUUCAUUUUAUUAUACUCUCUAAUUAUGUAUAUAUUUAAAUUUUUAAAAUAAAAAUAGAUUUUAUAAGAACAACUUACCAAAAAUCAAAUUACCAUGUGGAUAAUAUUAAAUUAAACCCUAUACUCAAUCCAACAGCAAAUUCUGUUGCCUCUAACUUGAAAAUGUAUCCAUAAUACAUCAUUUUUCCUCCCUCCCUCACCACAACACACAUAAUGUUACCUCCCAGGGUCCAACCACCUUCAUCUCUCAGCUGUACUGGGUCAAUAAUCUCCUGACCAUUCUUCCUAUGUCCAGUUAUUCCAUGGAGUCUAUGGUCCACAUUAAAUUCAGAAAUAUUCUCUUUUUUUAAGAUUAUUAUUAUUAUUUAUUUUAGAGAGACAGAGUAAGUGGGGCAAGGGGCAGAGGGAGAGAAUCUCAAGCAGACUCCCCACUGAAUGUGGAGUCCAAUGCAGGACUUCAUCCCAUGACACAUGAGGUCCUGAGCUGAGCUGAAACCAAGAGUUGGAUCCUUAACUGACAGAGCCACCCAGGCACCCCAGAACUAUGUCUUUUAAUACCCAAGUUCUCCGUAAUUCUCUAUGCUCCAUUCACACUGGUUUCCUGGUAUCUCCAAAAAAAAAAAAAAAAAAAAAAAAAAAAAAAAAAA
Mustela lutreola (European mink) is the source of this 3583-nucleotide long non-coding RNA. RefSeq lists it as uncharacterized. The transcript has 3 exons. NCBI's taxonomy places the organism in Eukaryota, Metazoa, Chordata, Mammalia, Carnivora, Mustelidae. The record is from RefSeq and is a predicted model, not a curated record.